RNAcentral lists this long non-coding RNA (4228 nucleotides) under Sus scrofa (pig). Its description in RNAcentral is "lncRNA (ENSSSCG00000059155.1)". Lineage: Eukaryota; Metazoa; Chordata; Mammalia; Artiodactyla; Suidae. The record is from RNAcentral.
AUAGAAAGUAAAACAGAAGAAAGCCAGUCCCUUGUUCCCCCUCUAGCUUCCUUUGUCCCUUAGCACAUUUUUUUUUUUGGACAGAAUCUAUUGGUCACCCACCUGGCAAAGCCCCAAAUCACAAAGAUGAGAAUAAAGGGGUAGACUGGAAACUGAGAGAACAGCCCAAUGACCAACCUGUUUCAAUUCUGGCUAUUUAGCUUAUAUUCAUUCUCUUCUAUACAUCUUUGAAGCUCUAUAAAAUGAUUUUAAAAGGUUUAUACUUUCACCCUAGAUAGAAUCAUCCUUCUCUGUUACUUAAACAAUAUUUAACCUAAGGAACUGGUUUAGCAGGAAAAAAAAGAAAAUAUUGCAACAUCCCAGAAGUGGUAAUAAUAGGAAGCAGUCCCUGCCCCUUGGGCCAGGGUUGCACAAGGAAGGGAUUGGGUGUAUCAGCAUUUAGAAGCCUGGAGAAAGACCCUGGGAACUUGGGCACAGACCCUUGAAUAAGAGGUUCUGUCUAGUGUUGGUGCUGAUGCCUCAAAGAGCACAGAGGAGAGAUCCCCUGUAGAUAUGGAAGUGAGACCCUUGUAAAGAGAGAAAACUCUGGACAGUUUAUGCCACUGUCUCUGAGGGGUGCAGUAAUGUUGGUUCUGAAAAUGGAGGAGGGGAAAAAACCAGAAACUAGAAUCAUCUACUGCUACUGGAAUCAACUGCUGCUGCCAAAGUGGAGAUCUCAUUACUAGCAUUAAGCUGAUGGUGUAGCCUUUGCCUAGUUCACUUCUUGUUUCUUAUUCUUGAUGUUCAUUGAGAUCUUGGGAACUGUGGGAUUAUAGUUUUUAUUAAAUUUGGUAAAGUUUCAAUCAUCAUUCCUUUUUUCCCCCCUGUCCCUCCUGCCUUCUUUCCUUGGGAGACUCUUAAUUUCACAUUCUCUAAGCUAUUUGAAGUUUCCUGAAAGUCUCUGAUACUCUGUCACGUUUUUAAUCAGACUUUUUUCUCUGUUUCAUUCUGAAUAGUUUCUAUUUCAAUCUUCAAGUUUACUAAUCUUUUCUUCUGCAGUUUCUAAUCUGCUUUUAUUUUGCUCUUUGUAUUUUUCAUUCCAGAUAUUAGAGUUUUCAUCUUUAAAAGUUUUAACUUAAAAAAAAUUAGCUUCUGUGUCUCCACUUAACUUGCUCAAUAUUUCUUCAACUUUAUAAAUCAUGUGGAAGACAGUAAAAUAUGUCUUAAUGUUCCUGUUUAUUAAUUUUAUCUUUAUAACUUUAGAUUGGUUAUGAUUGAUUUUUCCAUAUUAUUGGCCUUUUUUCUUGCUUCUUUGAAUGUUUGGUAAUUUUAAUAGCUCUGGAUACUUCAAGAUUAUUUCCUAUAUCUUUCAUUUCUAAUGUAAAUUCAAAUAUAAUGCCAAAUAUUGUGAAUUUUAUCUGCUAGGUGCUGGGUACUUUUGUAUACCUAUGAAUAUUAUUGUGCUUUGUUUGGGGAUGCUGUUAAGUUGCUUGGUAAGUGUUUGAUCCUUUCUGAUCUUGUCUUUAAGCUUUGUGAGGUGGAACAAAAGCAGUAUUUAAUUAUCUCACUAUUAAGGCAAAUCUCUUCUGAAUCCUCAACCUAUUAUUCCAUGAAUUAUGUUUUCCACCAUAGCAGGUAGUAAUAAGGACUAUUCAUCGUUCUGUGGGAGCCUUGAGAAAUAUUUCCCCAUUCCUUUCAAGUGGUUCUUUCCUCAGGCUUGAGCAGUUUUCUCAUAUGCAUGCAGUGAUCCAUCUUCAGUGUAGGUCUCAAUGGAGACCCUCUGCAUAUCUCCAGAGCUCUCUCUUCAUGCAACCUUCUCCUCUCUAUUACUCUGUGCUAUGAAUUUUAGUUCCCUUGCCCUUGCCACAUUUUAAGCUUUGUCCCCUCAGUUCAAGGAGUCUUCUGAACUCCACAUGAGUUCCCUCUCCCUGCACUGAAGCUUGAAAGCAAUCACUUGGAAAACUGGAGCAGUUGUAGAGUUUUCCACAUUUUUUUUCUUUUUACAACUGCACCUGUAGCAUAUGGAAUUUCCUGGGCUAGGGUCAAAUUGCAACUGCAGCUGCAGGCCUACGCCACAGCCACACCAGAUCCAAGUCACAUCUACAAUCUGUACUGCAGCUUGUGGCAAUGCCAGAAUCUUAACCCACUGAGUGAGGCCAGGAAUCAAACCCACAUCCUCACAGAGUCAAAAUAGGGUCCUUGACCUACUGAGCCACCGUGGGAACUUUUCCACUUUUAUUUUUUCAUCUUUCAUUGUCCAAUGUUUAAUAUUUUGAAAACUGUUCAUGUAUAUGUGUAUUUCUGUAUACAUAUAUAUGUGUGUGUGUGUGUGUGUGUUUAAAUUGUUUCAAGCUAGAAAGUAAGUUCAGUCUCUCUGACUCCAUCCUGGUUUUUGGAGUCACCUUGCUUUUUAAAGUAUAUAUUUUUUACUAUAUAUAUAUAUGUAUAGGUUUCCACUUUUUAUUCUAGAACUAAAAGUGUCAUUCCAUUGAUAGUUCCUGAUGAUAAGUCAUCAUUCUUAUUUUGCCCUUUAGCUGCCUUUAGGAUUCUUUUCUACAUCUUUCAUCUUCAGCAGCUUGACUGUAGAGUGGAUAAAGGUAGUUCUCUUGGUGUUUAUUCUAUGUGGGUUCAAUGAGUUUCUGGAUUUUUUAGGUCAGUGUUUUUCCAUGAUGAGAAGCCCUUAUUCCUUACAAUAUUUUUUCUCCUUUUUUCUUUUCUUUUCCUUAUUCUUCUAUUACCUAUAUGUUAGGCCACUUGAUACUACCCCAACAGUCCCUAAAUCUCUGUUAAUAUUUUUAAAAUCCUUUUUCCCUAUUUUCAAGAUUGGAAAUUUUCUGUCAAUAGGUAUUUGGGUUCACCAACUCUUUCUUUAUGACCUGUCUUCCAAUAUGUGUUGAGUCAAUCCAAAUAAUUUUUCUUUUUAGUUACUACAUUUUAUCAGUUCUAGAAUUUACAUUUAGUUGUUUUAUAUAGCUUACAUUUCUCUACUGAGACUGUCUGUUCCCUCAUUAAGAUAAUAUUUCCCUUUAAUUCUUUGAGCAACUUUCUUUUAUUUCCAUAACACAUAAAGACUUCUUUAUCUGCUAAAUACAACAUUUGGGCCAUCUAGGUUCAGUUUCUAGUGACUGCCUUUUUCCUCCUCCACUAUAGGUCCUAUUUACAUAUGUAGUAAUUAUUUAUUAUAUACUCUUGAUAUUAUAGACAAUGUUUUAGAUAUUUUAGAAUAUGUUGUCUUCCUUGGAAGAAUGUUUAUUCUUGUUCUAGCAAGCAAUUCUGUAUUGGCUGGUCACUUUGAGCUUAUGUAGCUUUGUUUGUUUUAUGCUUUGCCAGGAUGAAUUAUGGCACAUUCAGUGUGUUUUCCAAGAUCUUCCUUCUAAUGUGAUGAGAUUCAGUCUAUAAACUAUCCUCUGCAAAUCUUGUCAGGACUUGAUUUCAGGCUUUGUCUGUACCUAUCAAGAGUAGUCAAGUAGUGGAGUCCUUACUAGACAUGCCCCCCUUUUUUGGAUGAAUUCCCAGGUUAUUUUGUAUCUCAGCUGGAUACCCCAGGUCUUAAAAGUUAUGAAACAGGUCUCUUCACUUUUGCUGGGCUGACCCUUUAAUAUCUCCCAGCACAGUGACCUCCGAUAGCCCUAUUCCACUCUUAACCUUGCAGCAGCCACCCUAGUAAGCACUGGGUGAUGCUGCCCUAUACGAGCUGGGUAGAUUCACUUACAGAUUUCUGCAACUGCUCUCUGCAAAAAUGCUUCUACUAUGGUGCUCCUUUUCAGAAUUUCCAGCCACUUCCAGUGCCCUGAAUUCUUAUCUUCUCCUCCUCAGCUCAGCAGGACUAACUUGCCCUUUUUGGAUCCUAAUGGCUACACUACCUUUGGGGAAUUAUCCUCACGUCAAGAACCAGUGAGUUUCCUUAUCCCAAGGAUUGUACUCUUGUACUGCUUAUAAAAGAUAACCAGUAAAUUUUGUCUCUUUCCCUCCCCUGCCUUCAAGAGGCACAGGAUCAUGAGAAGCUAAUGUGAGAGAGGCUCUAGUCACUUAAAACUCUUCCUCUCCUACUUUUCUCUAGGAAAAUUUAUAAGAAAGAUUCACUUGCUUUCUAAAAUGAAAAAUUGCUGGAGUUCCUGUUAUGACACAAUGGGAUUGGCAGUGUCUCUGGAGCUCCAGGACACAGGUUCGAUUCCCAGCUUAGCACAAUGGGUUAAGGAUCUGGCAUUGCGGCAGAUGUGGCAUAGGUUGCACCUGUGGCUUGGAUCUU